RNAcentral lists this ribosomal RNA (544 nucleotides) under uncultured bacterium. RNAcentral's name for it is "bacterial SSU rRNA". It matches the Rfam family "Bacterial small subunit ribosomal RNA", at positions 28 to 502 of the family's 1533-position model. The record is from RNAcentral.
GACGAACGCUGGCGGCGUGCUUAACACAUGCAAGUCGAACGGACGAGUGAGAUAAGUUUACUUAACUCACAAGUUAGUGGCGGACGGGUGAGUAACACGUGGAUAAUCUACCUGCAACACCGGGAUAACGCUGUGAAAACGGUGCUAAUACCGGAUACGUUCCCUUGUGCGCAUGUAUGAGGGAAGAAAGCUCAGGCGGUUGCAGAUGAGUCCGCGGCUGAUUAGCUAGUUGGUGAGGUAAAGGCUCACCAAGGCGAUGAUCAGUAGCCGGCCUGAGAGGGUGAACGGCCACACUGGGACUGAGACACGGCCCAGACUCCUACGGGAGGCAGCAGUGGGGAAUCUUCCGCAAUGGGCGCAAGCCUGACGGAGCAACGCCGCGUGGGUGAAGAAGGCCUGGUUGGUAAGUACCGUACGUCGUUACUUAGGUAAGGAAGGUACGUAGUAGACGGGUACCGAACGUAACGGAAGGAAGGACCGAACCGGACGUAACCGUAACGUACGUACCGACGACCGAGACCGACCGGAAAACCGAAACCGAACC